Molecule: ribosomal RNA, 118 nt
Filed under: Brycon brevicauda
Lineage: Eukaryota; Metazoa; Chordata; Actinopteri; Characiformes; Bryconidae
Also listed under: 1 other name
Source: RNAcentral
UACGCCCGAUCUCGUCCGAUCUCGGAAGCUAAGCAGGGUCGGGCCUGGUUAGUACUUGGAUGGGAGACCGCCUGGGAAUACCAGGUGCUGUAAGCUUGCUUACGGCCAUACCAGCCUG